AGAGAAGCUAUUCGUAGAAUGCGAAAGGGAAGGGCGACGGGGCCCGAUGAGAUUCCGGUGGAUUUUUGGAAGUUUAUAGGUAAGGUUGGUUUAAGGUGGUUGAUUGAUUUGUUUAACGACAUUUUCAAGACGGCAAGGAUGCCGGAUGCUUGGAGGUGGAGUACUAUGAUUUCGUUAUAUAAAAAUAAGGAAGACAUCUAGAGUUGCACUAACUAUAGAGGUAUCAAGCUGUUGAGUCAUACUAUGAAGAUUUGGGAGAGGUUAGUUGAGCUGAGAUUGAGGAGGAUCGUGUCCAUUUCGGAGAAUCAGUUUGGUUUUAUGCCUGGUCGCUCGACGACAAAGGCAAUCCACCUGGUGAGGAGAUUGGUGGAGCAGUAUAGGGAAAGGAAGAAGGAUUUGCAUAUGGUGUUCAUCGGCAAUCCACCUGGUGAGGAGAUUGGUGGAGCAGUAUAGGGAAAGGAAGAAGGAUUUGCAUAUGGUGUUCAUCGACUUGGAGAAGGCUUAUGACAAACUUCCGAGAAAGGUUCUGUGGAGAUGUUUAGAGGCCAAAGGGGUUCCGGUGGCGUAUAUCAGAGCUAUUAAGGACAUGUACGAUGGAGGGAAGACUCAGGUGAGAACGGCGACAGGAGACUCGGAGCAUUUUUCGGUCGAGGCAGGGUUCGACUCUUAGUCCGUUCCUGCUUGCGUUGGUGAUAGACGUGUUGACACGGAGUAUUCAGGGGGAAGUGCCGUGGUGUAUGUUGUUCACUGACGAUGUAGUGCUGAUUGAUGAGACGCGAGCGGGUGUGAAUGAAAGAUUGGAGGUUUGGAGGCAAACCCUUGAAUCUAAGGGGUUCAGGUUGAGUA
Molecule: long non-coding RNA, 846 nt
Filed under: Capsicum annuum
Lineage: Eukaryota; Viridiplantae; Streptophyta; Magnoliopsida; Solanales; Solanaceae
Description: long non-coding RNA (CANN_LNC018750)
Source: RNAcentral